AGCCGAGGGGUGUGUCCGAGGACGGCUGGAGGGAGGGGCGGCAGGACUCCAGGAGCGGCGGGGCCAGGGCAUCGCGGACUCGAGUCCCGCGGAGCGUUCCAGGCGGGCGCGCGGCUUUCUCCCCAGACCCACCGAGUGGCGGCGGAGGCGAGAUGCGCGGGGGCGUGCUCCUGGUCUUGCUGCUGUGUGUCGCCGCGCAGUGCCGGCAGAAAGGCCUGUUUCCUGCCAUUCUCAAUCUUGCCAGCAAUGCUCACAUCAGCACCAAUGCCACCUGUGGCGAGAAGGGGCCCGAGAUGUUCUGCAAACUUGUGGAGCAUGUGCCAGGUCGGCCCGUCCGAAACCCACAGUGCCGGAUCUGUGAUGGCAACAGCGCAAACCCCAGAGAACGCCAUCCAAUAUCACAUGCCAUAGAUGGCACCAAUAACUGGUGGCAAAGUCCCAGCAUUCAGAAUGGGAGAGAGUAUCACUGGGUCACAAUCACUCUGGACUUAAGACAGGUCUUUCAAGUUGCAUAUGUCAUCAUUAAAGCUGCCAAUGCCCCUCGACCUGGAAACUGGAUUUUGGAGCGUUCUCUGGAUGGCACCACGUUCAGCCCCUGGCAGUAUUAUGCAGUCAGCGACUCAGAGUGUUUGUCUCGUUACAAUAUAACUCCAAGACGAGGGCCACCCACCUACAGGGCUGAUGAUGAAGUGAUCUGCACCUCCUAUUAUUCCAGAUUGGUGCCACUUGAGCAUGGAGAGAUUCAUACAUCACUCAUCAAUGGCAGACCAAGCGCUGACGAUCUUUCACCCAAGUUGUUGGAAUUCACUUCUGCACGAUAUAUUCGCCUUCGCUUACAACGCAUUAGAACACUCAAUGCAGAUCUCAUGACCCUUAGCCACCGGGAACCUAAAGAACUGGAUCCUAUUGUUACCAGACGCUAUUAUUAUUCAAUAAAGGACAUCUCUGUUGGAGGCAUGUGUAUCUGCUAUGGCCAUGCUAGUAGCUGCCCAUGGGAUGAAACUACGAAGAAACUGCAGUGUCAAUGUGAGCAUAAUACUUGCGGGGAGAGCUGUAACAGGUGCUGUCCUGGGUACCAUCAGCAGCCCUGGAGGCCAGGAACCGUGUCCUCCGGCAAUACAUGUGAAGCAUGUAAUUGUCACAAUAAAGCCAAAGACUGUUACUAUGAUGAAAGUGUUGCAAAGCAGAAGAAAAGUUUGAAUACUGCUGGACAGUUCAGAGGAGGAGGGGUUUGCAUAAAUUGCUUGCAGAACACCGUGGGAAUCAACUGUGAAACCUGUAUUGAUGGAUAUUAUAGACCACACAAAGUGUCUCCUUAUGAGGAUGAGCCUUGCCGCCCCUGUAACUGUGACCCUGUGGGGUCCCUCAGUUCUGUCUGUAUUAAGGAUGACCUCCAUUCUGACUUACACAAUGGGAAGCGGCCAGGUCAGUGCCCAUGUAAGGAAGGUUAUACAGGAGAAAAAUGUGAUCGCUGCCAACUUGGCUAUAAGGAUUACCCGACCUGUGUCUCCUGUGGGUGCAACCCAGUGGGCAGUGCCAGUGAUGAGCCCUGCACAGGGCCCUGUGUUUGUAAGGAAAACGUUGAGGGGAAGGCCUGUGAUCGCUGCAAGCCAGGAUUCUAUAACUUGAAGGAAAAAAACCCCCGGGGCUGCUCCGAGUGCUUCUGCUUUGGCGUUUCUGAUGUCUGCAGCAGCCUCUCUUGGCCUGUUGGUCAGGUAAACAGUAUGUCCGGGUGGCUGGUCACCGACUUGAUCAGUCCCAGGAAGAUCCCGUCUCAGCAAGAUGCACUAGGCGGGCGCCAUCAGGUCAGCAUCAACAACACCGCGGUCAUGCAGAGACUGGCUCCCAAGUACUACUGGGCAGCCCCCGAGGCCUACCUUGGAAAUAAGCUGACUGCGUUUGGCGGAUUCCUGAAAUACACGGUGUCCUACGAUAUUCCGGUAGAGACGGUAGACAGUAACCUCAUGUCGCAUGCUGACGUCAUCAUUAAGGGAAACGGACUCACUUUAAGCACACAGGCUGAGGGUCUGUCAUUGCAGCCUUAUGAAGAGUACCUAAACGUGGUUAGACUUGUGCCUGAAAACUUCCAAGAUUUUCACAGCAAAAGGCAGAUUGAUCGUGACCAGCUGAUGACUGUCCUUGCCAAUGUGACACAUCUUUUGAUCAGAGCCAACUACAAUUCUGCAAAAAUGGCUCUUUACAGGUUGGAGUCCGUCUCUCUGGACAUAGCCAGCUCUAAUGCCAUCGACCUGGUGGUGGCCGCUGAUGUGGAGCACUGUGAAUGUCCGCAAGGCUACACAGGGACCUCCUGUGAGUCGUGCCUCUCUGGCUAUUACCGCGUGGAUGGAAUACUCUUUGGAGGAAUUUGUCAACCCUGUGAAUGCCACGGCCAUGCAGCUGAGUGCAAUGUUCACGGCGUUUGCAUUGCGUGUGCGCACAACACCACCGGUGACCACUGUGAGCAGUGCUUGCCCGGCUUCUACGGGGAGCCUUCCCGAGGGACACCUGGGGACUGCCAGCCCUGCGCCUGCCCUCUCACCAUAGCCUCCAACAAUUUCAGCCCCACCUGCCACCUCAAUGAUGGAGAUGAAGUGGUCUGUGACCGGUGUGCCCCGGGCUACUCAGGAGCUUGGUGUGAGAGAUGCGCAGAUGGUUACUAUGGAAACCCAACAGUGCCUGGCGAAUCUUGUGUUCCCUGUGACUGCAGCGGCAACGUGGACCCCUCGGAGGCUGGUCACUGUGACUCAGUCACCGGGGAGUGCCUGAAGUGCCUGGGGAACACAGAUGGCGCCCACUGUGAAAGGUGUGCUGACGGGUUCUAUGGGGACGCUGUGACAGCCAAGAACUGCCGCGCCUGUGAAUGCCAUGUGAAAGGCUCCCAUUCUGCCGUGUGCCAUCUUGAGACCGGGCUCUGUGACUGCAAACCAAACGUGACUGGACAGCAGUGUGACCAGUGCUUGCAUGGCUAUUAUGGGCUGGACUCAGGCCAUGGCUGCCGGCCCUGCAACUGCAGCGUGGCAGGCUCCAUGUCAGAUGGCUGCACGGAUGAAGGCCAGUGUCACUGUGUCCCAGGUGUGGCAGGGAAAAGGUGUGACAGGUGUGCCCAUGGCUUCUACGCCUACCAGGAUGGUAGCUGUACACCCUGUGACUGCCCACACACUCAGAAUACCUGCGACCCAGAAACUGGAGAGUGUGUCUGCCCCCCUCACACACAGGGUGUGAAGUGUGAAGAAUGUGAGGAUGGGCACUGGGGCUACGAUGCGGAGGUGGGGUGCCAGGCCUGCAAUUGCAGUCUCGUGGGGUCGACUCAUCAUCGGUGCGAUGUGGUCACCGGCCAUUGCCAGUGCAAGUCAAAAUUUGGUGGCUGGGCCUGCGAUCAGUGUUCCUUGGGUUACAGAGACUUUCCCGACUGUGUUCCCUGUGACUGUGACCUGAGGGGGACGUCGGGGGACGCCUGCAACCUGGAGCAGGGUCUCUGCAGCUGUGUGGAGGAAACCGGGGCCUGCCCUUGCAAGGAGAAUGUCUUUGGCCCUCAGUGCAACGAAUGUCGAGAGGGCACCUUUGCUCUCCGUGCAGACAACCCCCUGGGCUGCAGCCCCUGCUUCUGCUCCGGGCUGUCCCACCUCUGCUCAGAGCUGGAGGGCUACGUGAGGACCCCAGUAACGCUGGGCUCCGAUCAGCCUCUUCUGCAUGUGGUUUCUCAGAGUAACUUGAGGGGCACGACCGAGGGGGUUUACUACCAGGCCCCCGACUUCCUGCUGGAUGCCGCCACCGUCCGGCAGCACAUCCGUGCAGAGCCGUUUUACUGGCGGCUGCCGCAGCAGUUCCAAGGAGACCAGCUCAUGGCCUAUGGUGGCAAACUGAAGUACAGCGUGGCCUUCUAUUCUUUGGAUGGCAUCGGCACCUCCAAUUUUGAGCCUCAAGUUCUCAUCAAAGGUGGUCGGAUCAGAAAGCAAGUCAUUUACAUGGAUGCACCAGCCCCAGAGAAUGGAGUGAGACAGGAACAAGAAGUAGCAAUGAGAGAGAAUUUUUGGAAAUAUUUUAACUCUGUUUCUGAAAAACCUGUCACGCGAGAGGAUUUUAUGUCUGUCCUCAGCGAUAUUGAGUACAUCCUCAUCAAGGCAUCAUAUGGUCAAGGAUUACAGCAGAGCAGAAUCUCAGACAUUUCAAUGGAGGUUGGCAGAAAGGCUGAAAAGCUGCACCCAGAAGAAGAGGUUGCAUCUCUUUUAGAGAAUUGUGUCUGUCCUCCUGGCACUGUGGGAUUCUCAUGUCAGGACUGUGCCCCUGGGUACCACAGAGGGAAGCUCCCAGCAGGGAGUGACAGGGGACCACGCCCUCUGGUUGCUCCUUGUGUGCCCUGCAGUUGCAACAACCACAGUGACACCUGUGACCCCAACACCGGGAAGUGUCUGAACUGUGGCGAUAACACAGCAGGUGACCAUUGUGAUGUGUGUACUUCUGGCUACUACGGGAAGGUGACUGGCUCAGCAAGUGACUGUGCUCUGUGUGCCUGUCCUCACAGCCCUCCUGCCAGUUUUAGUCCCACUUGUGUCUUGGAAGGUGACCACGAUUUCCGUUGUGACUCCUGUCUCCUGGGCUAUGAAGGAAAACAUUGUGAAAGGUGCUCCUCGGGCUAUUAUGGGAACCCUCCAUCACCAGGUGGCAGUUGCCAGAAGUGUGACUGCAACCCGCACGGCUCUGUCCACGGUGACUGUGACCGCACAUCUGGGCAGUGCGUUUGCAGGCUGGGGGCCUCGGGGCUCCGGUGCGAUGAGUGUGAACCGAGGCACAUUCUGAUGGAAACAGAUUGUGUUUCCUGUGAUGAUGAGUGUGUAGGUGUGCUGCUGAAUGACUUGGAUGAGAUUGGUGAUGCCAUUCUUUCUCUGAACCUCACUGGCAUUAUCCCUGUCCCAUAUGGAAUUUUGUCAAACCUGGAAAAUACAACUAAAUAUCUCCAGGAAUCUUUAUUAAAAGAAAAUAUGCAAAAGGACCUGGGAAAAAUUAAGCUUGAAGGUGUUGCAGAAGAAACGGACAACCUGCAAAAGAAGCUCACUAGAAUGUUAGCGAGUACCCAAAAGGUGAAUAGGGCAACUGAGAGAAUCUUCAAGGAGAGUCAAGACCUGGCCAUAGCCAUUGAGAGGCUGCAGAUGAGCAUCACAGAAAUUAUGGAAAAGACAACUUUAAAUCAGACUUUGGAUGAAGAUUUCCUACUACCCAAUUCUACUCUUCAGAACAUGCAACAGAAUGGUACAUCUUUGCUAGAAAUCAUGCAGAUAAGAGACUUCACACAGUUGCACCAAAAUGCCACCCUUGAACUCAAGGCUGCUGAAGAUUUAUUGUCACAAAUUCAGGAAAAUUACCAGAAGCCGCUGGAAGAAUUGGAGGUAUCGAAAGAAGCAGCAAGCCACGUCCUUUCAAAGCACAACAAUGAACUAAAGGCGGCUGAGGCGCUCGUGAGGGAAGCUGAGGCAAAGAUGCAGGAAAGCAACCACCUGCUGCUCAUGGUCAAUGCUAAUCUGAGAGAAUUCAGUGAUAAAAAGCUGCAUGUUCAAGAAGAACAAAAUCUGACCUCAGAGCUCAUUGUCCAAGGAAGAGGAUUGAUAGAUGCUGCUGCUGCACAAACAGAUGCUGUACAAGAUGCUCUAGAGCACUUAGAGGAUCACCAGGAUAAGCUACUUUUAUGGUCUGCCAAAAUCAGGCACCACAUAGAUGACCUGGUCAUGCACAUGUCCCAAAGGAACGCAGUCGACCUGGUCUACAGAGCUGAGGACCAUGCCGCUGAGUUCCAGAGACUAGCAGAUGUUCUGUACAGUGGCCUUGAAAACAUCAGAAAUGUGUCCCUGAAUGCCACCAGUGCAGCCUAUGUCCAUUACAACAUCCAGAGCCUGAUUGAAGAAUCGGAGGAACUGGCCAGAGAUGCUCACAGGACUGUGACUGAGACGAGCCUGCUCUCAGAAUCCCUUGUUUCUAAUGGGAAAGCGGCCGUGCAGCGCAGCUCCAGAUUUCUAAAAGAAGGCAACAACCUCAGCAGGAAGCUUCCAGGUAUUGCAUUGGAACUGAGUGAAUUGAGAAAUAAGACAAACAGAUUUCAAGAGAAUGCUGUUGAAAUUACCAGGCAAACCAAUGAAUCACUCUUGAUACUUAGAGCAAUUCCUGAAGGUAUAAGAGACAAGGGAGCCAAAACCAAAGAGCUGGCCACGUCUGCAAGCCAGAGCGCGGUGAGCACGCUGAGGGACGUGGCGGGGCUGAGCCAGGAGCUGCUGAACACAUCUGCCAGCCUGUCCAGGGUCAACACCACAUUACGAGAGACACACCAGCUUCUGCAGGACUCCACCAUGGCCACUCUGUUGGCUGGAAGAAAAGUCAAAGACGUGGAAACUCAAGCCAACCUUUUGUUUGAUCGGUUGAAGCCUUUGAAGAUGUUAGAGGAGAAUCUGAGCAGAAACCUAUCAGAAAUUAAACUGUUGAUCAGCCAGGCCCGCAAACAAGCAGCUUCUAUUAAAGUCGCCGUGUCUGCAGACAGAGAUUGCAUCCGGGCCUACCAGCCUCAGAUUUCCUCUACCAACUACAAUACCUUAACACUAAAUGUUAAGACACAGGAACCCGAUAAUCUUCUCUUCUACCUCGGUAGCAGCACCGCUUCUGAUUUCCUUGCAGUGGAGAUGCGGCGAGGGAAAGUGGCCUUCCUGUGGGACCUGGGCUCCGGGUCCACACGCUUGGAGUUUCCAGACUUUCCCAUUGAUGACAACAGAUGGCACAGUAUCCAUGUAACCAGAUUUGGAAACAUUGGUUCACUGAGUGUAAAGGAAAUGAGCUCAAAUCAAAAGUCACCAACAAAAACAAGUAAAUCCCCUGGGACAGCUAAUGUUCUGGAUGUAAACAAUUCAACACUCAUGUUUGUUGGAGGUCUUGGAGGACAAAUCAAGAAAUCUCCUGCUGUGAAGGUUACUCAUUUUAAAGGCUGCUUGGGAGAGGCCUUCCUGAAUGGAAAAUCCAUAGGCCUAUGGAACUAUAUUGAAAGGGAAGGCAAGUGCCGUGGGUGCUUUGGAAGCUCCCAGAAUGAAGACCCUUCCUUCCAUUUUGACGGGAGUGGGUACUCUGUCGUGGAGAAGUCACUUCCGGCUACCGUGACCCAGAUAAUCAUGCUUUUUAAUACCUUUUCACCUAAUGGACUUCUUCUCUACCUGGGUUCAUACGGCACAAAAGACUUUUUAUCCAUCGAGCUGUUUCGUGGCAGAGUGAAGGUUAUGACUGACCUGGGUUCAGGACCCAUUACCCUUUUGACAGACAGACGUUAUAACAAUGGAACCUGGUACAAAAUUGCCUUCCAGCGAAACCGGAAGCAAGGAGUGCUAGCAGUUAUCGAUGCCUAUAACACCAGUAAUAAAGAAACCAAGCAGGGCGAGACUCCGGGAGCAUCUUCUGACCUCAACCGCCUAGACAAGGACCCAAUUUAUGUGGGUGGAUUACCAAGGUCAAGAGUUGUAAGGAGAGGUGUCACCACCAAAAGCUUUGUGGGCUGCAUCAAGAACCUGGAAAUAUCCAGAUCAACCUUUGACUUACUCAGAAAUUCCUAUGGAGUGAGAAAAGGCUGUUUACUGGAGCCCAUCCGGAGUGUUAGCUUCUUGAAAGGCGGCUACAUUGAAUUGCCACCCAAAUCUUUGUCACCAGAAUCAGAAUGGCUGGUAACAUUUGCCACCACGAACAGCAGUGGCAUCAUCCUGGCUGCCCUCGGCGGGGAGGUGGAGAAGCGGGGUGAUCGUGACGAAGCACACGUGCCCUUCUUUUCCAUCAUGCUGAUCGGAGGCAACAUUGAGGUACAUGUCAAUCCUGGGGAUGGGACAGGCCUGAGAAAAGCUCUCCUGCACGCUCCCACGGGUACCUGCGGUGAUGGACAAGCGCAUUCCAUCUCCUUGGUCAGGAAUCGGAGAAUGAUCACUGUCCAAUUGGAUGAGAACAAUCCUGUGGAAAUGAAGUUGGGCGCGUUAGUAGAAAGCAGGACGAUAAAUGUGUCCAAUCUGUACGUCGGGGGAAUUCCAGAGGGAGAGGGGACGUCGCUGCUCACAAUGAGAAGAUCGUUCCAUGGCUGUAUCAAAAACCUGAUCUUCAAUUUGGAACUUUUGGAUUUCAACAGUGCAGUUGGCCAUGAGCAAGUCGACCUGGACACCUGCUGGCUGUCAGAAAGGCCUAAGCUGGCUCCCGAUGCAGAGGACAGCAAGCUCUUGCCAGAGCCCCGGGCUUUUCCAGUAGGAGCGGCUUCCUUUACUAUCAGUCAGGAACAGUGUGUGGUGGAUGCAGCUCUGGAGUACGUUCCCGGCGCUCACCAGUUUGGUCUCACCCAAAACAGCCAUUUCAUCUUGCCUUUUAAUCAGUCAGCUGUCAGAAAGAACUUUAUCCUCAUCCUGAAACAGUUCCCGGCAGACAGAGGUAGGCAGUAAUAACUCAUUAUAUGAAUGGAUGUGUAAAUGGAUGAAGGAAUGAAUACCCCUCUCUCCUGAGAUGUUCAAUGUAAACGCUGAAACAAUUGUUAGGUCCUCUUUUGAGGUUUUAAAAAUGAAAAGUAAAAGUUUCCUUUCUCAAUGCUGAGCACUUGUUUUCCCCAGGCUCUCGGUUGAGCUAAGCAUCCGCACGUUCGCCUCCAGCGGCCUGAUUUACUACAUGGCUCAUCAGAACCAAGCAGACUACGCUGUGCUCCAGCUCCACGGGGGCCGCCUCCACUUCAUGUUUGACCUCGGCAAAGGCAGAACAAAGGUCUCUCACCCUGCACUGCUCAGUGAUGGCAAGUGGCACACGGUCAAGACAGACUAUGUUAAAAGAAAAGGCUUCAUAACUGUCGAUGGCCGAGAGUCCCCCAUGGUGACUGUGGUGGGAGAUGGAACCAUGCUGGAUGUGGAGGGUUUGUUCUACCUAGGAGGCCUGCCCUCCCAGUACCAGGCCAGGAAAAUUGGAAAUAUCACCCACAGCAUCCCUGCCUGCAUUGGGGAUGUGACGGUUAACAGCAAACAGCUGGACAAGGACAGCCCGGUGUCUGCCUUCACGGUGAACAGGUGCUACGCAGUGGCCCAGGAAGGAACGUACUUUGACGGAAGCGGAUAUGCAGCUCUUGUCAAAGAGGGCUACAAAGUCCAGUCAGAUGUGAACAUCACACUGGAGUUUCGAACCUCCUCGCAGAAUGGCGUCCUCCUGGGGAUCAGCACUGCCAAAGUGGAUGCCAUUGGACUAGAGCUUGUGGACGGCAAGGUCUUGUUCCAUGUCAACAAUGGUGCUGGCAGGAUAACAGCUGCAUAUGAGCCCAAAACUGCCACUGCGCUCUGUGAUGGAAAAUGGCACACUCUUCAAGCUAACAAAAGCAAACACCGUAUCACUCUGAUUGUUGACGGGAACGCAGUUGGCGCUGAAAGUCCACACACCCAGUCUACCUCAGUGGACACCAACAAUCCCAUUUAUGUUGGUGGCUAUCCUGCUGGUGUGAAGCAAAAAUGCCUGCGCAGCCAGAUCUCGUUCCGCGGGUGUUUGAGGAAGCUAGCUCUGAUUAAGAGCCCGCAGGUGCAGUCCUUUGACUUCAGCAGAGCGUUCGAACUGCACGGAGUUUUCCUUCAUUCCUGUCCUGGGACCGAGUCCUGAACUUGAAGCAGAAUCCUCAGUUGGAAUCAUUGCUGAUAUUUUGAGGAGAAGUGUAUGUGUGAAUUAAGAAUCUCUUCAGUUCAUAUUUCAUUUCCAACUCAGGUUAAGUGUUUCUGGGGAGAGAUGUUGUGUUUACGUUACACUAAAACCACAUGUGCAACAAAUACCUCCAUUAAAUGGUCUAAAAUGUAAA
Pan troglodytes (chimpanzee) is the source of this 9817-nucleotide RNA transcript. It is a transcript of the gene named laminin subunit alpha 1, with no coding region annotated. The transcript is spliced from 63 exons. The record is from RefSeq and is a predicted model, not a curated record. NCBI's taxonomy places the organism in Eukaryota, Metazoa, Chordata, Mammalia, Primates, Hominidae.